RNAcentral lists this ribosomal RNA (275 nucleotides) under uncultured bacterium. RNAcentral describes it as "partial 16S ribosomal RNA". It matches the Rfam family "Bacterial small subunit ribosomal RNA", at positions 399 to 691 of the family's 1533-position model. The record is from RNAcentral.
GCGUGAGUGAAGAAGGCCUUAGGGUUGUAAAGCUCUUUCGGCGGGGAAGAUGGUGACGGUACCCGCAGAAGAAGCCCCGGCUAACUCCGUGCCAGCAGCCGCGGUAAUACGGAGGGGGCAAGCGUUGUUCGGAAUUACUGGGCGUAAAGGGCGCGUAGGCGGUCCGAGAAGUUGGGCGUGAAAGGCCUGGGCUUAACCCGGGGAUUGCGCUCGAAACUGACGGGCUUGAGACCGGGAGAGGAUGGCGGAAUUCCCAGUGUAGAGGUGAAAUUCGU